AUGAACGCUGGCGGCGUGCCUAAUACAUGCAAGUCGAGCGAACAGACGAGGAGCUUGCUCCUCUGACGUUAGCGGCGGACGGGUGAGUAACACGUGGAUAACCUACCUAUAAGACUGGGAUAACUUCGGGAAACCGGAGCUAAUACCGGAUAAUAUAUUGAACCGCAUGGUUCAAUAGUGAAAGACGGUUUUGCUGUCACUUAUAGAUGGAUCCGCGCCGCAUUAGCUAGUUGGUAAGGUAACGGCUUACCAAGGCAACGAUGCGUAGCCGACCUGAGAGGGUGAUCGGCCACACUGGAACUGAGACACGGUCCAGACUCCUACGGGAGGCAGCAGUAGGGAAUCUUCCGCAAUGGGCGAAAGCCAGACGGAGCAACGCCGCGUGAGUGAUGAAGGUCUUCGGAUCGUAAAACUCUGUUAUUAGGGAAGAACAAAUGUGUAAGUAACUAUGCACGUCUUGACGGUACCUAAUCAGAAAGCCACGGCUAACUACGUG
RNAcentral lists this ribosomal RNA (496 nucleotides) under uncultured bacterium. RNAcentral describes it as "partial 16S ribosomal RNA". It matches the Rfam family "Bacterial small subunit ribosomal RNA", at positions 29 to 507 of the family's 1533-position model. The record is from RNAcentral.